RNAcentral lists this ribosomal RNA (404 nucleotides) under uncultured bacterium. RNAcentral's name for it is "bacterial SSU rRNA". It matches the Rfam family "Bacterial small subunit ribosomal RNA", at positions 355 to 775 of the family's 1533-position model. The record is from RNAcentral.
UGAGGAAUAUUGCACAAUGGGCGGAAGCCUGAUGCAGCAACGCCGCGUGCGGGACGAAGGCCUUCGGGUCGUGAACCGCUUUUCUGGGGAAAGAGCAAGGACGGUACCACAGGAAUAAGUCUCGGCUAACUACGUGCCAGCAGCCGCGGUAAAACGUAGGAGGCGAGCGUUAUCCGGAUUUACUGGGCGUAAAGCGCACGCAGGCGGCUCUGUGAGUCGGACGUGAAAGCUCCCGGCUUAACCGGGAGAGGCCGUUCGAUACUGCGGGGCUUGAGGUAGGGAGAGGAAUGCGGAAUUCCCGGUGUAGUGGUGGAAUGCGUAGAUAUCGGGAGGAACACCUGUGGCGAAAGCGGCAUUCUGGCCCUCACCUGACGCUGAGGUGCGAAAGCGUGGGUAGCAAACAG